Molecule: long non-coding RNA, 1392 nt
Organism: Trifolium pratense (red clover)
Lineage: Eukaryota; Viridiplantae; Streptophyta; Magnoliopsida; Fabales; Fabaceae
Exons: 4
Source: RefSeq, a predicted model, not a curated record
CCUCAUGAAAGUGCAUGGACAAGUAGGAGAAAUUAAAUCAUUCACUUUUUCUAAACUGAAUGAUAAAUUAACAAAGAGACCUAUUAGUGCGUCAUCGGUGACAGUGGCAAGAGGUCCCUUUGCGUCGCAAAUUGGCUACUUUAUUGCCUUACGUUGAAAUAGGAUCUGUUAGUGCAGCUCAGCUGCUCUGUUAACUCGUGGCGGACUUCGGUUUUAUUAUAGUUGAUCUGUUACUGCAUAUAUGCUGCUUUGGAAAUAUAUUGCUUAUCAGAUUGUGACUGCAUAGCUUGCUUCAGGGAGUGGAGGUUCAGCACUAAGUGGAUUUUUUAGGGUUUUACUAUUGUAUGGAUAUAAGUUGUUCAUUAGGCAGUGACACCUUAAAUUGCAUCUGUGAGUGUAGGACCUGCAUUAGUGGAGGUUUUAGGCUAUUUCUAUUGUAUGCUUGCAAAGCCUUCAUGAGCUAGUUUUACUGAUAUAGGUUUGAUGUCAAGCUUUCGUAUGCUAAUCCUUGAACUGUUGUUGAUCUCAAGCUCUAAAUACUUCUUGUACUUAGAGUUCUUUUUAUUAUAAAGUCCUUUUGCUAUUUCAAAAGAAAAACAAAGAGACCUAUUCUUGGUAUAAAGGUUUGGGAAAUAAUUGCAAUUUUGGUUGGUUUGUCAACUUAUAAUUCUCACUGUUCUUUCACUAUGUUUUACUUCAAGAAAGAAAAUGAACUUGGUGAAGGUGGAUAUGGAGUGGUUUAUGAGGGACAAUUGAUCAAUGGGAGUGCAUUAAAAAGAUACUCAAUAAUAUGGACUUGGGUUGUAUCGUGAUACGGGAUUUUUGCUUUAUGGGCCUCCAAGUUGUGGUAGAACACAGAUUGCCAAAACUGUUACCAAUGAGGCGGGAGCUAAUUUCAUUUAUAUUAAGUUCAUGGCUGGAAAGUGAAGACUUGAUACAUAACUCAUCAAGUAGCCACUCAUCCAAAUUAGCUUAACUCAAUCAACUAUCUUUAUGGUCAAAUUAAAUGAUGACAACUGAUGUUGGUAGUGAGCUAAUUGUGCUUUAUGGAUCUGAUUUUAUGGAUAUGGUUCUGGUUUGCAGCACAACCAGUUCUUGUGCAAUUUUAGCAUUCAAGGUUUUCGGUUCCGACCAUGAGACGAAAGCGCUGUGACCUUUUUCUGUUAUUGGCUGUUUGGUUGAAGUUUGAGGGCAGUUUCAAGAUAGAUUUUGUCAUGUGCCUUCACAAUGUGUGCCUUCACAGUUUGAGGGCUGCAAGGAGAGGAAAAUGAUUGUUUUCAUAGUUUUAAUUCUAUACAUACAUUAUUUCUGUAUUGGUUACUUUUCAAGUGUCAUGACCAUGGAAGGCAAAAACUGUUGUGAUUCCAAGACACCCAAGUAAUUUCGUUUGAA